ACUUAUUUAGUAUAAAAAGUAUAUAAAGCCUCCAACUUUAAGGUUUACCCAAAAAUAAGUA
This 61-nucleotide transfer RNA is filed under the name Cladolidia biungulata. Its description in RNAcentral is "tRNA-Gly". Lineage: Eukaryota; Metazoa; Arthropoda; Insecta; Hemiptera; Cicadellidae. The record is from RNAcentral.